Molecule: ribosomal RNA, 465 nt
Filed under: uncultured bacterium
Lineage: Bacteria
Description: partial 16S ribosomal RNA
Rfam family: Bacterial small subunit ribosomal RNA
Source: RNAcentral
CCUACGGGUGGCAGCAGUAGGGAAUCUUCCACAAUGGGCGAAAGCCUGAUGGAGCAACGCCGCGUGAGUGAAGAAGGUUUUCGGCUCGUAAAACUCUGUUGGUAGUGAAGAAAGUGCGUGGUAGUAACUGUUCACGUUUCGACGGUAUCUACUCAGAAAGCCACGGCUAACUACGUGCCAGCAGCCGCGGUAAUACGUAGGUGGCAAGCGUUAUCCGGAUUUAUUGGGCGUAAAGGGAACGCAGGCGGUCCUAUAAGUCUGAUGUGAAAGCCUUCGGCUUAACCGGAGUAGUGCAUUAGAAACUGUGGAACUUGAGUGCAGAAGAGGAGAGUGGAACUCCAUGUGUAGCGGUGAAAUGCGUAGAUAUAUGGAAGAACACCAGUGGCGAAGGCGGCUCUCUGGUCUGCAACUGACGCUGAGGUUCGAAAGCAUGGGUAGCAAACAGGAUUAGAUACCCUUGUAGUC